CCUACGGGGGGCAGCAGUGGGGAAUCUUGGUCAAUGGGCGCAAGCCUGAACCAGCGAUGCCGCGUGAGUGAUGAAGGCCUUCGGGUUGUAAAGCUCUGUGGGGAGGGACGCGGUACCUCCUUAGCAAGCACCGGCUAACUCUGUGCCAGCAGCCGCGGUAAGACAGAGGGUGCAAACGUUGCUCGGAAUCACUGGGCGUAAAGGGCGUGUAGGCGGGCAGGUAAGUCGGGCGUGAAAUCCCUGAGCUCAACUCAGGAACUGCACUCGAAACUACUUGUCUUGAGUACCGGAGAGGAAAGCGGAAUACCUGGUGUAGAGGUGAAAUUCGUAGAUAUCAGGUGGAACACCAGUGGCGAAGGCGGCUUUCUGGACGGUACUGACGCUGAGACGCGAAAGCGUGGGGAGCAAACAGGAUUAGAUACCCUUGUAGUC
RNAcentral lists this ribosomal RNA (432 nucleotides) under uncultured bacterium. Its description in RNAcentral is "partial 16S ribosomal RNA". It matches the Rfam family "Bacterial small subunit ribosomal RNA", at positions 338 to 795 of the family's 1533-position model. The record is from RNAcentral.